Molecule: long non-coding RNA, 340 nt
Organism: Oxyura jamaicensis (ruddy duck)
Lineage: Eukaryota; Metazoa; Chordata; Aves; Anseriformes; Anatidae
Exons: 2
Source: RefSeq, a predicted model, not a curated record
CCGAGGCAUCAAGGGCAGGGAACAACAGUGAUUCCCAGUACCAUUUCCCUCCAGCAAGAAUCUUCUUGUGUAGAGAGAAAUUCAGCAUCUAUGUUAAACUAAGCAGUGGUUAGAAGCCUGGAAACUACCCAUCAAAACAUAUGAUGGCCUAGUUCAUCCCACUCAAUCAGUAGAAUGCACCAGAAAUAAAUAUGGAGCACUGCAUCUACAUAUGUUAAGACAAAAGUUCACUGAAGAAGACAGAAGACUGGAACAAGUAGUGAAGCCAACCUUUGAUGUCUCCAUUAUCCAAGCUUCAGAUGUCACACCCAAGAAUCCACUGGUAUCACAGAAAUGUGUA